Molecule: ribosomal RNA, 328 nt
Filed under: uncultured eukaryote
Lineage: Eukaryota
Description: partial 18S ribosomal RNA
Rfam family: Eukaryotic small subunit ribosomal RNA
Source: RNAcentral
CCCUUAGAUGUCCUGGGCCGCACGCGCGUUACACUGAUGCAUUCAACGAGCUUAUAACCUUGGCCGAGAGGCCUGGGCAAUCUUGUUAACGUGCAUCGUGAUAGGGAUAGAUUCUUGAAAUUAUUAAUCUUGAACGAGGAAUUCCUAGUAAACGCAGAUCAUCAAUCUGCAUUGAUUACGUCCCUGCCCUUUGUACACACCGCCCGUCGCACCUACCGAUUGGAUGGUCCGGUGAAGCCUCGGGAUUGUGGUUCUUGCCGCUUUAUUGUGGCGUGACCGCGAGAACUUGUCUAAACCUUAUCAUCUAGAGGAAGGUGAAGUCGUAACA